This is a long non-coding RNA of Daphnia pulicaria, 558 nucleotides long. RefSeq lists it as uncharacterized. The record is from RefSeq and is a predicted model, not a curated record. Lineage: Eukaryota; Metazoa; Arthropoda; Branchiopoda; Diplostraca; Daphniidae. The transcript has 2 exons.
CCUCCAAAACUAAACAACUUGCCAAUCCCUUCCUAAAAAUUUAGAAAAAUUAGCUGUUUGAAAGCAACUUGUUUGUUGAAAGGAAUUCACCUGCCAGUGACCAAGGUAGAACCUAUCAGCUCCAAAACCACCUAAGAUGUCCAAUUGCAUCUAAUAUUUUUGAAAAAUGUCCUCUGUCCUAAACACAAGACAUGUGGUUUUGCAGUGCAGUUGGAUCUGUAGUUUUGAACUGGGUUAGCUGGUGUGUUACAGUAGCUGCCUGUUGCAUUGCAGGAAUGAUCUUCUGGAGAAGUCUGGUAACAAUAUUGACAUCUCAUAGUUUUCUCAAAUACUUUAGGACCCUGUUGAUUUAAAAAAAACUUACUUAAAUCUGAAAAUAUAGAUAAAAUUUGCUUUAGUAAUGCAUACAUCACAUUUUGGAAUAGCUUGGCAACUGACAUUUACCAAGUUCCCAUAGAUACAUGUAAAAUUGAACUUGCAGAUUAUGCAAUCAGCAGGUAAUGAAUGGCACUCCCUAUCAAUUGGGCAUAUUGAAUUGGAAAUUUGCCAUGGUAUUAC